GACGAACGCUGGCGGCGUGCUUAACACAUGCCAGUCGAACGGAAAGACCCUGCUUUUGUGGGGUGCUCGAGUGGCGAACGGGUGAGUAACACGUGAGUAACCUGCCCUUGACUUUGGGAUAACUUCAGGAAACUGGGGCUAAUACCGGAUAGGAGCUCCUGCUGCAUGGUGGGGGUUGGAAAGUUUCGGCGGUUGGGGAUGGACUCGCGGCUUAUCAGCUUGUUGGUGGGGUAGUGGCUUACCAAGGCUUUGACGGGUAGCCGGCCUGGGGGGGUGACCGGCCACAUGGGACCGGAGUGACGCCCCGACCUCCACCGGAAGGCAGGGGGGGGGAAUAUUGACCAUUGGCCGGAGGCCUGAUGCAGCAAGCCGGGUGGCGGGAGGCCGGCUUUCGGGUUGUAACCCGCUUUCGCUUGGACGGAAGGGGAGUGAACGUAAAGGGUUAAGAAGGACCGGCUAACUACGUG
This 467-nucleotide ribosomal RNA is filed under the name uncultured bacterium. RNAcentral's name for it is "partial 16S ribosomal RNA". It matches the Rfam family "Bacterial small subunit ribosomal RNA", at positions 28 to 507 of the family's 1533-position model. The record is from RNAcentral.